This 385-nucleotide unclassified non-coding RNA is filed under the name uncultured fungus. RNAcentral's name for it is "partial contains small subunit ribosomal RNA, internal transcribed spacer 1, and 5.8S ribosomal RNA". The stretch from base 1 to 73 matches the Rfam family "Eukaryotic small subunit ribosomal RNA", at positions 1759 to 1831 of the family's 1831-position model. Lineage: Eukaryota; Fungi. The record is from RNAcentral.
GCAAACUUGGUCAUUUAGAGGAAGUAAAAGUCGUAACAAGGUUUCCGUAGGUGAACCUGCGGAAGGAUCAUUAUUGAAGCUGCUGAGGGGUUGUUGCUGGCUUUCCGAAGCAUCUGUGCACACCUCUCACACUUUAUUCAACCCACCUGUGCACCUUUUGUAGACUUUCAGGAUAUAUUAUCUUUCAGUCCCUUGGGCUGGGUCGGGGAUAGUUGCUUCCUCUUAAAACAGGUGGCUUCAAUCCAAUUUCCGAAAGGUCUAUGUAAUUCUACACAGACUUUUUAUAGUUGUCUAAGAAUGUAUCAUGGUCUUUCUAAGACUAUAAAAAUCUAAUACAACUUUCAACAACGGAUCUCUUGGCUCUCGCAUCGAUGAAGAACGCAGC